Molecule: ribosomal RNA, 476 nt
Filed under: Streptococcus infantis
Lineage: Bacteria; Bacillati; Bacillota; Bacilli; Lactobacillales; Streptococcaceae
Description: bacterial SSU rRNA
Rfam family: Bacterial small subunit ribosomal RNA
Source: RNAcentral
GAUGAACGCUGGCGGCGUGCCUAAUACAUGCAGUAGAACGCUGAAGGAGGAGCUUGCUCUUCUGGAUGAGUUGCGAACGGGUGAGUCACGCGUAGGUAACCUGCCUGGUAGCGGGGGAUAACUAUUGGAAACGAUAGCUAAUACCGCAUAACAGUAGAUAUCGCAUGAUAUCUGCUUGAAAGGUGCAAUUGCAUCACUACCAGAUGGACCUGCGUUGUAUUAGCUAGUUGGUGAGGUAACGGCUCACCAAGGCGACGAUACAUAGCCGACCUGAGAGGGUGAUCGGCCACACUGGGACUGAGACACGGCCCAGACUCCUACGGGAGGCAGCAGUAGGGAAUCUUCGGCAAUGGACGGAAGUCUGACCGAGCAACGCCGCGUGAGUGAAGAAGGUUUUCGGAUCGUAAAGCUCUGUUGUAAGAGAAGAACGAGUGUGAGAGUGGAAAGUUCACACUGAUGACGGUAUCUUACCAGAA